CACAGUUAAAAUGUCUCAGUGUUUUAAACGAAUUGACCCCCUUCUCAAGAUACUGUGCCUAACAGGAUUUGAUUGUGCUUUCUCGGCCAGAGGAUUUCUGUCAGUACCUCUGCCAAAUGCACGGUCUCGCAGAGGGAGGAUUUGAUAGAGAUCCAGGUUAAGUCAGCCUCUUCAUUCAGAGACAGCGACUGCCAGCCCCACACAGGCUGCAGCCAGGCCACCCAAAUGUCGAGUUUCCACUGAGGAAGGCCAAGUUCCCUAUAUUCCUUUCAAUUUUUGCAACCAUAGCAGGGCUGUGUCCUUGGGUUCUUUCCAUGCCAAAUAAAGCGUCUGCACAUUUUGUCUAGUUCAUUUUUGUACAGCUGAGGCCUUUAUAGCAGAGGCACCUGCAAAAAUAGAAGUUCGAAGAAACAGAUUCAUUUCUGACAGGUUAACCAACCUGAGGAGUAAGAAAUUAUUGUGCUAGAUCUGUAAAUGCAUUUGCAGCUUGCCUUGCAAGGGCAGCUUGUGAAAAUUAAGCUGGCUGGGAAUAUUCUGAGCCCUAGGCAUAGCACACCCUCUGAGACACAGCUAAUAUAAAAUGCUCUGAGGCAGAUCCUGCCAUCCAGCACAGCUGUGUAAAUCUGGAGUAACACAGUGGCUGCUUCAGAGAUGUUACUUUAGAUCCACUUCACCCAACAGAAGAGCAGAAUUCAAAUGAAUUACCCAUGAAGAGAGAAUAAAGAACAUGUGCAGUAAAUAAUGCAUUUCUGGGUUUUCUGCCCUUCAUGACUCUCAUAAAUGUUUCAGCCUCAGUCUGAUUGCUGCUUCACUGUGUCAGCCAAAAAACCAGACUGAGCAAGUGCAUUUCAGUGUCGUUCACAUCUGAGGCUGUUAAUGACUCAGGGAGAGGCAGAAGCACAGACAAAACUCUGAUUUCUAAGAGCAUGACAUUGUCUUCCCCAGAGCCAUAUUUGAAAUGCCUCAAGACACAUUCUAUGACUGCUCUCGGUCAGAUACAGUUCUUGUUUUGUUUAUUUUUUUAUCUCGCAGAACUGAAAAAUCAGUAGGAGAGAGGGGAAGCAAUUUUUUAUUAAUAAAAAUCAGUUUGGUCCCAGAGUGUCAAUUGAAGCAUUUCAGUAUUUAUGAAAUUAUUAAUUUAAUUCUGAAGAAGUCAAUAUGAAGUCUCACACUAUUUCUCACCUUACACUAUCUUGCCACCUGGGCUGGCACUUGACACCAACCUUGAGUAGUUUUGAUUACUCCAGAUUUUUCAGGGGAUGUUAGUGCAUAAUGAAUCUUAGUCUAUAUUUUCUUUUAUUAUUUACGUUACAGUUGAAUUCUUUCUAUUCAUUUAAUUAAUUCAGCAGCUGUUCAGUCUCUAUUACAAUACCCUUCAGAUGUAAGAUACCUGAUUAGAAUUAACCUCUGUCACAAUAAGGUGACCUUGCUUCAUGAGAUCAGGCUGUGAUCCCCACCACUGGAUGUACUUGAACACUCCCCUGCUGUGUUACACAUGUUCUUGAUGUUCCUGAGCAGUUGCCCAACACUAACUCGGGAGCAAAACACCUCGGUGAGAUUUAAGGAGCUGUAUCAAUACUUGGAGCUACAUCCACACCUGAAAUACCCUUUUCAGUAAAUCUGAAACUACUCAGGUUUAUUAGUCUGCUUUCCUACUCAGCUGUCUUAUUUUAAACUUCUCAAAUGUGUUUUAUCAAUAUGGAAUACUGUUUACUUUUUAAUUCUUGCACUUUCCAAAUCUUUACUGUGCAGAUUCUUUCCAGCAUUUCCCCCCAGAUGUAGCAUAUUGUAAUUCAUUGCUCAUGACUGCCAAGAAAUGACAUUUCCAAGACUGUCCAUAGUAAAUGAGAUGAGUCUCUUAAAUAGGGCAGGGACAAAACCUCAGUUACAGAUUUGUGCAUCUCUCUGACAUGUCCAGCCAGAAAAAGAGAAAUCCUGGUCUCAGUAGAACAAAUAACCACCUGCACAUUCUCACUGUCUGAGAUAUACCUCCUCCAUCUUGUCAAUUCUGCUGGUACUUGCUCUCCUGUGUUCUCCAUUAGGACUGUAUUUUUAUUGCCAAAACCAAGAAAAAAAAAAAAAAAAGGAUAUGGCUCUCCUGUGUUCUGGAUGGCUGUACAGUUUUUCCACAUGUAGAGGGUUUAUUAAUUUUGCUAUUUAUUUUGCAGAUACGUUUUAAACAUUUUUAAUAAUAGAGUUGCACUGAUGAGACUUAGUGUAGGAGCAGGUAUAAAUUGUUCUUGCCCUUUUUGAAGCUUAAUAUUGUCUUCUGUUUAGAGAGACAAAUCCUAGAUCCACAAAGGUAAGGGGUUUUUAACAGUACUGGCACAGCUGCAAUGAUCUGGCAAAGGGGUGCAGACAAAACCCAACAUUUUUUUGUUGUCAAGAGUCAAAAUGGAGUUACCUGGAGGAACAGAUUUUCAUAGUAUGCUGUACAUUUCCAGUGUUAAUCAGUCUUCCUACUGAAAAGCAGAAAAUGUGUGGUUUUACCUGUCAUCCAGAGUCACCUUGAAACCUCGUAAUGAAAUAUCAAUAAUUGAGAGUAGCUGUUUGCUAAAAAGAUUACUGACAGGCAUGCAAUAACAGUCACCAGUAGCUUUGAAUGUAUUUUAUAUGUCUUGGACAUUUUCCUAGCAGACUUCAGUCUUUCAUUGAGUUAGGCAGUAGGAGCCCUGGAUUUGGACAUUUUUGCACAGAUGAAUAGUAGGAUGUUUUUUGGGGUGCUGGAGGGGAGGAAGUGGAGCUUUUUUUAAAAUCAGUGUACCAUGAUGUUCCUUGGUUAGCACAAAAGCAUAAUUCCCUUCACUAGUGGAGAGGUCUGUUUCAGUUUAUUAUUUUUGCAGUAUGCUGUAUAUAAAGAGAAAGAAGACGAGGUAAUUAUUCCUGGAGAAAAUCCAGAGUUUUAAUUAAAUGGCAUUUUCACAUUCACUUCUUACUAGCUGGAGUUCAUGGCCAUACUGGCCAUACUUGCUUUCGUGUUAAGACCUUUCCAGAUGACCUUCUCUGCAAAUGCCUUUUUUUCUGCCACUAGAGGUCCUAAAAACAAUAAAGAAUGAAGACAAAACAUAACUAUUAAUUUGGGACUAGAACAUUUUCACAAGGUGGACCUGAGUGUCUGGUCUCUGAAACCCUCGGUGUGGGGGACAGCAUGUUUUAGUGUUAAUUUUAAGCAGACUGAAGGAAAGUCAUCAGAAGUGGAUUCAAAAGAUUAGAAGUCACAUUUCUCUGCCUUGGCAUGUUGUCUUUAAAUCCAGGGUACUCAAAAAUCACCAAGUUUCUCAAAUUCAUGAGGUCACUUUAUGAUCUCUAGUCUUUCAGAUAGUGCAUCACGUUCAUAGACAUCUACAUCUCCUUUUAGGCUUCUUGCCUUUUGAUUCAUGUUUUCAUGCUUUUCACUCUAACACAGUUUCGAAUUCAAAGUAAAAAUGAAGGAUUUUUGAAAACGGACAUUCUUAUGUAAGCUGUUUCUGCCAAUAGCUGUGACUUUAUUAAAAUCAACACAUCAAUAUGAACCACAUUAAAUCUGACACUUACAGAGGCCUAGGUCUGAGAAUAAAGACUUAGUUUUUUAAAAAAUUACAUCACAAACUUCAAAACUCUCUCUGUAAUUAAUUGCUACUAAACACAGCAAUAUCUGCUGGUAAACGAAGUGGCCUAACUUUGAACUCCAAUCAGAGAUUGUCAAUUGUUUAUUUUAUGUACCUGGUUCAAUUCUGCCACUGAGGUUGACAGUCAUUUCAUGAGCCAUCCUCAUUCUCAUUUUCACUGCUCCCACUUUAGGAAGCAAAUAUGUUCAGUUCUAUACAUGAAAAUGUAAAAAGAGCCUUUCCCUGUCUGUCAGGGAUGUCACUAGGAACCAGUAUUUGCAACAUAAACCUGAGGUUUCUGUUAUUGUAGUAGCCAAGCUGGGUUGUUCUGCAGUCCUCCAGUGCCAUAGAAAGAAAUGGAUGGAAGUACUUGGGAACUGAAAUUAAAUUCUCCUCCUCCCAUUUGCCUCUUUAUUCUUUCUCUCUGUUAAAAAUAAAACACUGAUUUUCUCAUUUUGCUGAGUCUGCAGUCUUUGCUAGCAUGUUAUUGUUGUAGACGUUCACAAGAGCUAGCAGUAAAAAUCUAGGAAAAUAAUUUUUCAUCAAAAUUUGCCUGCAUAUUGAAAGCAAGACAGCCCUGAGGAAAAGAUUUUUUCUUAUGAUGGGUGACAGGGAAGCAGAGCCCAGCACUUUGCCCUGCACAGCUGGUCCUGGAGACCUCUCUCAUCCCUGCCUGUGUGAGCAUCCCAGCUCUGUUCCAGAGAGCAAAGGAAAUGGUGGGUCUUGUUCCACACUGAAAUCAAAUUCAGAAACCUUGGAAACGCCUCAAAAUGGAAUCAUCACAAUCUGCCAAGCCUGAGUGUCAUGUCACGUCCAAUCUUAAAUGACACUGCCAAAACUGUAUAUGUUAUAGAAAAGAUGGACAUCUUGAAAUUAGCAAAUUAUGGUCUCAUUGUUCUUAUUUUGCUUAUCGAGUUCUUUUCUAGGGUCAAGACCUAUUUUGUUUCACCCUUUCCUCUCAUCUGAUUUAAGAGUUGUUCUUGGCGCUAGAGAAUCUUAAGAGUUCUGUCACAGGCUGCACACUGAAGGUUGUUCCAACAGCAGGAUCUGAAGCCGAAACCGCACAACUCAAAGUUAUUUCCUUAGCGUCAGCACCAGGCUCUGUUCCUGGGCUUGUGCGUGUGUGAGUCUGUGCAGACACCACAGACUGACCGCAGGUUGCUGCACUAGGAAAGGAAAUUAAUGUUUCCUUUGCUUCUGCAAGCGAAGGAAUCAACAGCAAACUGCUCUGAAGAAGUGGCUCUUGCCACCGUCCGGGAGCUUGCUGUGGCAGCGAGGGAUCGAUCAGCUGGACUGCACGGGCUC
Molecule: long non-coding RNA, 4892 nt
Filed under: Taeniopygia guttata (zebra finch)
Lineage: Eukaryota; Metazoa; Chordata; Aves; Passeriformes; Estrildidae
Description: lncRNA (ENSTGUG00000027550.1)
Source: RNAcentral